GGUUUGUUGCACACAUGGAGCUCCAUAUUUGCUGGGUUUCUUUAUCUAGCAUCAGACCAACACAAUACCAAAAGCACAAUUAAAAAAAAUACAUACAGCUAUGUCUGUUCCAGAAAUAGACAGGACAGAGGCAGCACCCUUUGUGUCAGGACUUAUAGACACCCUUGAUAGCCAAAUAAUAGGGUGUAGUCCUUUUGUUAGAAAAUCUGUAUAUGUGCUUAUUACCCUUUGUGUUACUACAUUUAACCCAGGAGUAGUCUUCAAGACCCAAGUAAGUGUUAUGUUAUUCCUUGUCAGGGGUAGCUUAUCCAUACAGGUGAACUAGGCAGUCACCUAGGACACCAAGUUAAGUAGAGAAGCCAACUUCAAGGAACAAAAUAAAAAAUUUACAAAUAUCAAUAUUUUUUUGUGGAGCACCAGUUGCAGGAUUUGCCCAGGAUGCUCUAGUUAAGGGCCACCACUGCUCCCUAGGAGAGUUUAUAUUCAACCAUCCUUUAGAUAUGGAAAAUCACAUAUGUAUAGCUGCAACAGAAAGGUUCCCUUGCACUGGUUACUUGGCCUAACCAAAUCCUUAAUGCUUUGCCAUUGUCUUUUGAAAUUAUGUAUACAAACAGCCAUGGGAACAAGUGCUUUCCUAAGACUCAUGGGGCAAAACUACCGUGGCCGUGUGGAGAUUCUGCACGAAGAGGUGUGGGGCACCAUCUGUGAUGAUUCCUGGAACCUGAACACCGGCACAGUGGUUUGCCGAAUGUUGGGAUUCAGUCGGGCCAUUGAGAUCUUCACUGCAUCUCCAGGAUCUGGACAAAUCUGGCUGGAUGAUGUGGAAUGUUCAGGAAGUGAAGACUCCAUUUAUUCAUGCAGUAAACGUAAAUGGGGUGAAAAUAACUGCAGUCAUGAUGAAGAUGCUGGGGUAGAGUGUGCUUAAGGCAGUUUUGCAGUGACACCUGUAACAUAAUAUUGAAAUAAGUGUCUCAGCCUUGUCACGCAAUGUGUAUCUAACUGAUAGUUAUAUAAUGUUUACUGCCUUCUGUUGUAUCAGUGUGUUUUUAGGUUCUUCUUUGAUCAAAGCUAAUUUUAAAGAUGCAUUUGAUGUAUCUGGGCUCCUAGGUACAGUGAAGAAUUUUUUAUGUAAGAAUCCCAUAAACUGCAUUCUUAUUCACCUGCAUGGAAGAUCCAUUCACUCAGUUAAACUUCCUAGUAAGAAGCAUCAUGGGAGAUACAGGCUACAAAAAAUGAAAAUCUGUCAGGCUAGAUUUCAUCAUUCAAUAAAGAAAAAUUACUUCCCUGGG
This is a long non-coding RNA of Candoia aspera, 1289 nucleotides long. RefSeq lists it as uncharacterized. The transcript has 2 exons. Lineage: Eukaryota; Metazoa; Chordata; Lepidosauria; Squamata; Candoiidae. The record is from RefSeq and is a predicted model, not a curated record.